This 625-nucleotide long non-coding RNA is filed under the name Anser brachyrhynchus (Pink-footed goose). RNAcentral's name for it is "lncRNA (ENSABRG00000017723.1)". Lineage: Eukaryota; Metazoa; Chordata; Aves; Anseriformes; Anatidae. The record is from RNAcentral.
UUUCUGUGCAGUCCUCAAUUUUGAAAAACCAACGAAGGAAAAAGCCCUGAGGAAAUAGGCAUUUCCAAGAAAGCUUCUGGCUUAUUCAGGGAGAGACAGUCCAUAUCCAGUUUCAAACUACUUAUUAUAAGUAGUCCCAUCUCCUUCCAAACUGUCCCACUUUGAGUCACAGACACAGCAGGAGAUGAGUUUUAAUCUCCUUUUUCUUCCAGUGCUUGGAUGAUGCAGGAACUGCUAGUGACUCAGUACAGCAGCACAAACUGUCUUCAUCUUACGUAAAAGCUCCAGGCUGCAUGAAAGCAGGAGCCUUACAUAAACAGCUAGUAUUUCAGGGUGAAAAAGUGUAUCAAAGAAGCAAAUCAAAAGGGACAGCAAGAAAUAUCAGUGCCCAUUACAACAGGAGCUUCUUACAGAGACUCAGCUGUUGUCUCAUGGAAAGUGGGAUUUGCUUAGUUCCCAAUUUCAAGGAGGGUAGAUGCUGUGGUGGGGUCCAGGCAGCUUUGUGGAAACGUCUCCAAUGGGCUGGUAGGAUGAGAAGGUCCAGGGGUAGUUUGGAAAACAAGGAGAAGCAUCACCUCCCAAGACGGUAAACCUACUGAAAAGACUAUUGAAAUUCCAGAAGGAC